RNAcentral lists this non-coding RNA (45 nucleotides) under Schistosoma mattheei. Lineage: Eukaryota; Metazoa; Platyhelminthes; Trematoda; Strigeidida; Schistosomatidae. The record is from RNAcentral.
AUCCAACUGACAAGUCCCAAAUAGGACGAAACGCGUGUCAUGGAU